This 636-nucleotide ribosomal RNA is filed under the name uncultured bacterium. RNAcentral's name for it is "bacterial SSU rRNA". It matches the Rfam family "Bacterial small subunit ribosomal RNA", at positions 60 to 686 of the family's 1533-position model. The record is from RNAcentral.
AGUCGAGGGGAAACGAUGGGAGGGCUUGCCCUCCCAGGCGUCGACCGGCGCACGGGUGAGUAACACGUAUCCAACCUGCCCUCUUCCGGGGAACAACCUUGCGAAAGUAAGACUAAUGCCCCAUGUGUCCUCAGACGGCAUCAGACGAGGACGAAAGAUUUAUCGGAAGUGGAUGGGGAUGCGCCUGAUUAGGCAGUUGGCGGGGCAACGGCCCACCAAGCCGACGAUCAGUAGGGGUUCUGAGAGGAAGGUCCCCCACAUUGGAACUGAGACACGGUCCAAACUCCUACGGGAGGCAGCAGUGAGGAAUAUUGGUCAAUGGGCGAGAGCCUGAACCAGCCAAGUAGCGUGCAGGACGACGGCCCUAUGGGUUGUAAACUGCUUUUGCGCGGGGAUAAAGUGCGCCACGUGUGGCUCAUUGCAGGUACCGCGCGAAUAAGGACCGGCUAAUUCCGUGUCAGCAGCCGCGGUAAUACGGAAGGUCCAGGCGUUAUCCGGAUUCAUUGGGUUUAAAGGGAGCGCAGGCCGCCCCUUAAGCGUGUUGUGAAAUGCCGCGGCUCAACCGUGGCACUGCAGCGCGAACUGGGGGGCUUGAGUGCGCGCAGCGCAGGCGGAACUCGUGGUGUAGCGGUGAAA